Molecule: long non-coding RNA, 477 nt
Filed under: Phoenix dactylifera (date palm)
Lineage: Eukaryota; Viridiplantae; Streptophyta; Magnoliopsida; Arecales; Arecaceae
Description: long non-coding RNA (PDAC_LNC016741)
Source: RNAcentral
UGGAUGGUUGGUGUGUCGGUUUGAGGUGCAUGAGGUUGUUGGUUCGAAUCUCUCUUCCCUCCUUUUUAAAAUUCUCAUAUGGAGGAUUUAUUUACGUGAAGGAGAGGCAGCUUGGUUAUAUUGCUCGGUUCUCUGUGCCUGUGCUCGUCCGACCCGAGGUUCUUUGCGCUAGGUUCUUUGUGCCCGAGCCUGUGCUCGCUCGGCCCUGCUCGUCCGAGGUUGCUUGCGCCUGUGCGACCCAAGGUUCGUUGCGCCUGUGCUCGUCCGACCCAUCUCGUGCGCGUACUCGUCCGAAGCACGAAGAGCCGAGGUCAUAUCUCGUCCGUGCUCCUCCAAGAGGAGCCAAGGUCAAGGUCGGACCACAGGUGCAAUAAGCCAAGAGGUGUGUGGGCUGUGCCUCGCACCCAAGGCGCGAAGAGCCACGUCACUUCCUCGCUUGCAUCUCUUCGCAACCGACCUCGCAUCCGCUGACCCUAC